AGAGUUUGAUCCUGGCUCAGGAUGAACGCUGGCGGCGUGCUUAACACAUGCAAGUCGAACGAAGCACUUUAUUUGAUUUCCUUUGGGACUGAUUAUUUUGUGACUGAGUGGCGGACGGGUGAGUAACGCGUGGGUAACCUGCCUUGUACAGGGGGAUAACAGUUGGAAACGGCUGCUAAUACCGCAUAAGCGCACAGCAUCGCAUGAUGCAGUGUGAAAAACUCCGGUGGUAUAAGAUGGACCCGCGUUAGAUUAGCUAGUUGGUGAGGUAACGGCCCACCAAGGCGACGAUCCAUAGCCGACCUGAGAGGGUGACCGGCCACAUUGGGACUGAGACACGGCCCAAACUCCUACGGGAGGCAGCAGUGGGGAAUAUUGCACAAUGGGCGAAAGCCUGAUGCAGCGACGCCGCGUGAGCGAAGAAGUAUUUCGGUAUGUAAAGCUCUAUCAGCAGGGAAGAUAAUGACGGUACCUGACUAAGAAGCACCGGCUAAAUACGUGCCAGCAGCCGCGGUAAUACGUAUGGUGCAAGCGUUAUCCGGAUUUACUGGGUGUAAAGGGAGCGCAGGCGGUGCGGCAAGUCUGAUGUGAAAGCCCGGGGCUCAACCCCGGUACUGCAUUGGAAACUGUCGUACUAGAGUGUCGGAGGGGUAAGCGGAAUUCCUAGUGUAGCGGUGAAAUGCGUAGAUAUUAGGAGGAACACCAGUGGCGAAGGCGGCUUACUGGACGAUAACUGACGCUGAGGCUCGAAAGCGUGGGGAGCAAACAGGAAUAGAUACCCCGGUAGUCCACGCCGUAAACGA
Molecule: ribosomal RNA, 803 nt
Filed under: uncultured bacterium
Lineage: Bacteria
Description: bacterial SSU rRNA
Rfam family: Bacterial small subunit ribosomal RNA
Source: RNAcentral